UACGGAGGGAGCUAGCGUUGUUCGGAAUUACUGGGCGUAAAGCGUACGUAGGCGGAUUGACAAGUUGGGGGUGAAAUCCCAGGGCUUAACCCUGGAACUGCCCUCAAAACUAUCGAUCUAGAGACCGGGAGAGGUAAGCGGAAUUCCUAGUGUAGAGGUGAAAUUCGUAGAUAUUAGGAAGAACACCAGUGGCGAAGGCGGCUUACUGGACCGGUACUGACGCUAAGGUACGAAAGCGUGGGGAGCAAACAGGAUUAGAAACCCCAGUAGUCC
This 273-nucleotide ribosomal RNA is filed under the name uncultured bacterium. Its description in RNAcentral is "partial 16S ribosomal RNA". It matches the Rfam family "Bacterial small subunit ribosomal RNA", at positions 524 to 796 of the family's 1533-position model. The record is from RNAcentral.